GACGAACGCUGGCGGCGUGCUUAACACAUGCAAGUCGAACGGAAAGGCCCUGCUUGUGUGGUGUUCGCGAGGGGCGAACGGGUGAGUAACACGUGAGUAACCUGCCCUUGACUUUGGGAUAACUUCAGGAAACGGGGUCUAAUACCGGAUAGGAGCUCCUGCUGCAGGGGGGGGGGGGGAGAUUUUCGGCGGUUGGGUAUGGACUCGCGGCUUAUCAGCUUGUUGGUGGGGUAGUGGCUUACCAAGGCUUUGACGGGUAGCCGGCCUGAGAGGGUGACCGGCCACAUUGGGACUGAGAUACGGCCCAGACUCCUCCGGGGGGAAGCAGUGGGGAAUAUUGACCAAUGGGCGGAAGCCUGAUGCAGAAACGCCGCGUGCGGGAUGACGGCCUUCGGGUUGUAAACGGCUUUCGCCUGUGACGAAGCGUGAGUGACGGUAAUGGGUAAAGAAGCACCGGCUAACUACGUG
RNAcentral lists this ribosomal RNA (468 nucleotides) under uncultured bacterium. RNAcentral describes it as "partial 16S ribosomal RNA". It matches the Rfam family "Bacterial small subunit ribosomal RNA", at positions 28 to 507 of the family's 1533-position model. The record is from RNAcentral.